RNAcentral lists this ribosomal RNA (337 nucleotides) under uncultured Pseudomonas sp. RNAcentral describes it as "bacterial SSU rRNA". It matches the Rfam family "Bacterial small subunit ribosomal RNA", at positions 8 to 347 of the family's 1533-position model. The record is from RNAcentral. Lineage: Bacteria; Pseudomonadati; Pseudomonadota; Gammaproteobacteria; Pseudomonadales; Pseudomonadaceae.
AGAGUUUGAUCCUGGCUCAGAUUGAACGCUGGCGGCAGGCCUAACACAUGCAAGUCGAGCGGAUGAAGGGGGCUUGCUCCUGGAUUCAGCGGCGGACGGGUGAGUAAUGCCUAGGAAUCUGCCUGGUAGUGGGGGAUAACGUCCGGAAACGGGCGCUAAUACCGCAUACGUCCUGAGGGAGAAAGUGGGGGAUCUUCGGACCUCACGCUAUCAGAUGAGCCUAGGUCGGAUUAGCUAGUUGGUGGGGUAAAGGCCUACCAAGGCGACGAUCCGUAACUGGUCUGAGAGGAUGAUCAGUCACACUGGAACUGAGACACGGUCCAGACUCCUACGGGAG